This 72-nucleotide transfer RNA is filed under the name Ictidomys tridecemlineatus (thirteen-lined ground squirrel). RNAcentral describes it as "Spermophilus tridecemlineatus (thirteen-lined ground squirrel) tRNA". It matches the Rfam family "tRNA". Rfam says of the family: Transfer RNA (tRNA) molecules are approximately 80 nucleotides in length. Their secondary structure includes four short double-helical elements and three loops (D, anti-codon, and T loops). Further hydrogen bonds mediate the characteristic L-shaped molecular structure. tRNAs have two regions of fundamental functional importance: the anti-codon, which is responsible for specific mRNA codon recognition, and the 3' end, to which the tRNAs corresponding amino acid is attached (by aminoacyl-tRNA synthetases). tRNAs cope with the degeneracy of the genetic code in two manners: having more than one tRNA (with a specific anti-codon) for a particular amino acid; and 'wobble' base-pairing, i.e. permitting non-standard base-pairing at the 3rd anti-codon position. Lineage: Eukaryota; Metazoa; Chordata; Mammalia; Rodentia; Sciuridae. The record is from Rfam by way of RNAcentral.
GGGGAUGUGGCUCAAGGGGUAGAGCGCUUGCCUGGCAUGCGUGCAACGCUGGGUUCGAUCCUCAGCACCUCA